UCCUUCGGAAGGACCAACAGCGUGC
RNAcentral lists this non-coding RNA (25 nucleotides) under Rattus norvegicus (Norway rat). The record is from RNAcentral. Lineage: Eukaryota; Metazoa; Chordata; Mammalia; Rodentia; Muridae.